GCCUAACACAUGCAAGUCGAGCGGAUGAGGAGAGCUUGCUCUCUGAUUCAGCGGCGGACGGGUGAGUAAUGCCUAGGAAUCUGCCUGGUAGUGGGGGACAACGUUUCGAAAGGAACGCUAAUACCGCAUACGUCCUACGGGAGAAAGUGGGGGAUCUUCGGACCUCACGCUAUCAGAUGAGCCUAGGUCGGAUUAGCUAGUUGGUGGGGUAACGGCUCACCAAGGCGACGAUCCGUAACUGGUCUGAGAGGAUGAUCAGUCACACUGGAACUGAGACACGGUCCAGACUCCUACGGGAGGCAGCAGUGGGGAAUAUUGGACAAUGGGCGAAAGCCUGAUCCAGCCAUGCCGCGUGUGUGAAGAAGGCCCUCGGGUCGUAAAGCACUUUAAGCUGGGAGGAAGGGUUGUAACCUAAUACGUUGCAGCUUUGACGUUACCAGCAGAAUAAGCACCGGCUAACUCUGUGCCAGCAGCCGCGGUAAUACAGAGGGUGCAAGCGUUAAUCGGAAUUACUGGGCGUAAAGCGCGCGUAGGUGGCUUGGUAAGUUGAAUGUGAAAUCCCCGGGCUCAACCUGGGAACUGCAUCCAAAACUGCCUGGCUAGAGUACGGUAGAGGGUGGUGGAAUUUCCUGUGUAGCGGUGAAAUGCGUAGAUAUAGGAAGGAACACCAGUGGCGAAGGCGACCACCUGGACUGAUACUG
Molecule: ribosomal RNA, 701 nt
Filed under: uncultured Pseudomonadales bacterium
Lineage: Bacteria; Pseudomonadati; Pseudomonadota; Gammaproteobacteria; Pseudomonadales
Description: bacterial SSU rRNA
Rfam family: Bacterial small subunit ribosomal RNA
Source: RNAcentral